CCUACGGGGGGCUGCAGUGGGGAAUUUUGGACAAUGGGCGCAAGCCUGAUCCAGCCAUGCCGCGUGGGUGAAGAAGGCCUUCGGGUUGUAAAGCCCUUUCGGCCGGGAAGAAAUCGUGCGGGCGAACAGUCUGCAUGGAUGACGGUACCGGAAGAAGAAGCACCGGCUAACUACGUGCCAGCAGCCGCGGUAAUACGUAGGGUGCGAGCGUUAAUCGGAGUGAGUGGAGGCGGAGCGAGCGCAGGCGGGUGAACUCCCCGGGCUUAACCUGGGAACUGCGGUUGUGACUGUGGUGCUAGAGUACGGCAGAGGGAGGUGGAAUUCCUGGUGUAGCAGUGAAAUGCGUAGAGAUCAGGAGGAACACCGAUGGCGAAGGCAGCCUCCUGGGCUGAUACUGACGCUCAUGCACGAAAGCGUGGGGAGCAAACAGGAUUAGAUACCCUUGUAGUC
RNAcentral lists this ribosomal RNA (450 nucleotides) under uncultured bacterium. RNAcentral's name for it is "partial 16S ribosomal RNA". It matches the Rfam family "Bacterial small subunit ribosomal RNA", at positions 338 to 795 of the family's 1533-position model. The record is from RNAcentral.